RNAcentral lists this ribosomal RNA (402 nucleotides) under Bacteroidota bacterium. Its description in RNAcentral is "Bacteroidetes bacterium partial 16S ribosomal RNA". It matches the Rfam family "Bacterial small subunit ribosomal RNA", at positions 355 to 776 of the family's 1533-position model. The record is from RNAcentral. Lineage: Bacteria; Pseudomonadati; Bacteroidota.
UGGGGAAUUUUGCACAAUGGGGGAAACCCUGAUGCAGCGACGCCGCGUGAUUUAGAAGGCCUUCGGGUUGUAAAAAUCUUUUUUACGGGAUGAAAAUGACAGUACCGUAAGAAUAAGGUCCGGCUAAAUACGUGCCAGCAGCCGCGGUAAUACGUAUGGAGCGAGCGUUGUCCGGAAUUAUUGGGCGUAAAGGGUACGCAGGCGGUUUAAUAAGUCGAAUGUUAAAGAUCGGGGCUCAACCCCGUAAAGCAUUGGAAACUGAUAAACUUGAGUAGUGGAGAGGAAAGUGGAAUUCCUAGUGUAAUGGUGAAAUACGUAGAUAUUAGGAGGAAUACCAGUAGCGAAGGCGACUUUCUGGACACAAACUGACGCUGAGGUACGAAAGCGUGGGGAGCAAACAGG